Molecule: transfer RNA, 71 nt
Filed under: Ovis aries (sheep)
Lineage: Eukaryota; Metazoa; Chordata; Mammalia; Artiodactyla; Bovidae
Rfam family: tRNA
About the family: Transfer RNA (tRNA) molecules are approximately 80 nucleotides in length.
Source: Rfam by way of RNAcentral
UCCCAGGUGGCUCAGUGGUAAAGAAUCUGCCUGUAAUGCAGGAGAUGCAGGUUUGAUCCCUGGGUUGAGAA